GCUCGUAGUUGGAUUUCGGGUGGGUCUUUGCGGUCCGCCUCUGGUGAGUACUGCUAAGGCCCAUCUUUCUGUCGGGGACGGGCUCCUGGGCUUCACUGUCUGGGACUCGGAGUCGACGUUGUGACUUUGAGUAAAUUAGAGUGUUCAAAGCAAGCCUACGCUCUGAAUACAUUAGCAUGGAAUCACAUGAUAGGACUCUGGCCUAUCUUGUUGGUCUGUAGGACUGGAGUAAUGAUUAAGAGGGACAGUCGGGGGCAUUCGUAUUCCAUUGUCAGAGA
RNAcentral lists this ribosomal RNA (278 nucleotides) under Chlamydomonas pulvinata. Its description in RNAcentral is "partial small subunit ribosomal RNA". It matches the Rfam family "Eukaryotic small subunit ribosomal RNA", at positions 626 to 911 of the family's 1831-position model. The record is from RNAcentral. Lineage: Eukaryota; Viridiplantae; Chlorophyta; Chlorophyceae; Chlamydomonadales; Chlamydomonadaceae.